Long non-coding RNA from Paramacrobiotus metropolitanus, 798 nucleotides. RefSeq lists it as uncharacterized. The record is from RefSeq and is a predicted model, not a curated record. NCBI's taxonomy places the organism in Eukaryota, Metazoa, Tardigrada, Eutardigrada, Parachela, Macrobiotidae. The transcript is spliced from 2 exons.
UCUAGCGAACCUGUUUUGCGAAAGUUUAUACGUUUGAUGGGUUAUCUGCUACCGUGAUGAAACUUUUAAAUUAUUGUUAUUCGAGAUUAUGGUAUUUCAAAUCUGUUACUGUAAGCUUCUUGGACUUUACGUUUCGGUUUCUUAGAGUAAUUAAUUUGUUCGGUUAACGAUUUUUUCUCGUUACAGACUUACAGUAAGAUAUUGUAAAGUUGAUUCUGGAUUAUUGUGAUUGAUAAAGGAUAAGAACUAACUUAAUAACUGAAGUACUGUAUGUAAAAAGCUCGCUUUCUCGUACGAAAAUAGAUUUGCUAGCGCUACAUGCUCUGGUACAAAGUUGAUUGCCUGCAAAAACUGUGUUAUACGUACGCUGGUCAAUAGAAAAGUAUGGUAGUAGCUUGUUCUCAGCCCUCAGGUACUUAAUUCUACCAAAAAAGCAUGAUUUGAAUAUUAUUCUACAAAUUAUAGGCCGCUUUUCAAAUGUCCAAAAUUAUUAUUUAAGUUACCGUUGAUCUAACAUCCUGAUCUGAAAUUAGCUGUUGAUAAUCGUUUAUGAAAAUUUGCUCCAAUACUAGACGUCAGGCCAUGAUUCGUGACAUGUUGCGUGCCGCAAUGGCGACGGCAGCCCGUGGACUACUACGAUAGUGUAAACUGAUGUUGAAAUGAGUUGAUGUUGAAACUGAUGUGAAAAGUACAUGAUGUCUGACUCAGUACAUGAAAUGAUAGAAAGUCUUUUGGAGCUCCGAUUGUGGCUUUCGCACCCAGGUCCUUACCGGACUGCAAAUAAAAAAAGAAAGGGGA